Molecule: ribosomal RNA, 253 nt
Filed under: uncultured bacterium
Lineage: Bacteria
Description: partial 16S ribosomal RNA
Rfam family: Bacterial small subunit ribosomal RNA
Source: RNAcentral
UACGAAGGGGGCUAGCGUUGUUCGGAAUCACUGGGCGUAAAGCGUACGUAGGCGGAUCGUUAAGUCAGGGGUGAAAUCCCGAGGCUCAACCUCGGAACUGCCUUUGAUACUGGCUAUCUUGAGUUCGGGAGAGGUGAGUGGAAUGCCGAGUGUAGAGGUGAAAUUCGUAGAUAUUCGGCGGAACACCAGUGGCGAAGGCGACUCACUGGCCCGAUACUGACGCUGAGGCGCGAAAGCGUGGGGAGCAAACAGG